AGUGAACGCUGGCGGUAGGCCUAACACAUGCAAGUCGAACGGCAGCACAGUAAUAGCUUGCUCUUACGGGUGGCGAGUGGCGGACGGGAGAGGAAUACAUCGGAAUCUACUUUUUCGUGGGGGUUAACGUAGGGAAACUUACGCUAAUAUCGCAUACGCUCUACGGGUGAAAGGAUGGGAUCUUCUGACCUUGCGCGGUUGAAUGAGCCGAUGUCGGAUUAGCUAGUUGGCGGGGUAAAGGCCCACCAAGGCGGCGAUCCGUAGCUGGUCUGAGAGGAGGGUCGGCGGCAUUGGAAGGGGAACACGGUCCAGGCGCCUACGGGAGGCAGCAGUGGGGAAUGUUGGACAGAGGGCGCAAGCCUGAUCCAGCCAGACCACGUGGGUGAAGGAGGCCUUCGGGUUGUGAAGCCCUUUUGUUGGGAGAGAAAAGCAGCAGGUUAAUACCCCGCUGGUCUGACGGUACCCAAAGAAUAAGCACCGGCUAACUUCGUG
RNAcentral lists this ribosomal RNA (492 nucleotides) under uncultured bacterium. RNAcentral describes it as "partial 16S ribosomal RNA". It matches the Rfam family "Bacterial small subunit ribosomal RNA", at positions 29 to 507 of the family's 1533-position model. The record is from RNAcentral.